RNAcentral lists this long non-coding RNA (1772 nucleotides) under Ornithorhynchus anatinus (platypus). RNAcentral describes it as "lncRNA (ENSOANG00000033850.2)". Lineage: Eukaryota; Metazoa; Chordata; Mammalia; Monotremata; Ornithorhynchidae. The record is from RNAcentral.
GCUCUGCCCACCGGCCCUCCCGGCGUCCCCCCCCAAAGUGGCACUCGCCGUCCCCGCCUGCUCCGCUCCAGCGCCCGACCGAGGGACGAUGACCAAGCUGCUGCUGGGCCUCUCGGCCCUCCUCUGCCUGGUGGACGGGGCCGAAGCCGUACGCUGCCAUCACUGCCUGGAGUUCAAGGAUGGGAAGUGCAUUUUGGGCCCGGGGGACUGCAGACCGAAAGCGGGGGAGUCCUGCGUGACCCAGAAAAUCGUCACCUUUGGCGCAGGUAUUAAGAAUUAUGAGAAAUUCGUCACCGGGUGUGUGAAGAACUGCCGAGAGAGGAGGUUCCCCGUCUGGCCCAACCAGCAAGCCCACAUCAGAUGUUGCAAAAACCGUGACUUCUGCAAUGACCCAAACAUUCCCUUUGCUGUGCCCCUCUGAUUCCGGCCGGCGGGGAGCUCCCUCGACUGUGCCCUCCUCCCGACCCCCCUAAAAAUCCACCCUCCCUGUCCUUUCCGGCUGCCAGCUUGCUUAAACCCUCUAAGGUCCCCCGGCCCUCCACUCCCGUUGCUUCCCGAUAAAGGUUUCUGGCUCAGAUGCCCGGAGUGUAGCUUUUGGGAGGGCCAGGGUGAGGAAGCUGGGAGGCAAGUUGGCGAAGGUUGAGGGGCUGGGAGGGCAAAGGGCAGAGAAGUUUUUAGGGCAUCUGCUAAGCGUUUAUUAUGCGACAAGCACUGCUCUAAGCUCUGGUUCAGUCUUGCUUCCCAAGUGCUUGUGCAGUCUCAUCUCCCUGGGCCAGUGAACCACCAGCGAUGCCCUCCGGUGCCAACUCACCGGCCACCCAGUGCAGCACUCCGUCCCUGGCGGGGUGCCAGGAUGUCCGGAGGAACAGUGUGCUGGACACCCCUCUCACGGUUACGGACGGACCAUCCAAUCUCCCGGACUCUGCCCUGCUGACCCGGCAUAGGCCAUACAAACCCCCAACUCUCCACUCUCCAUCCCUACCUCUUCCCCGGUGACCCAACACAGUCCAUCCCACAUCCCUGACUCUCCCCUCUCUAUCCCUGAGUUUCCCCCAGUGACCCAACAUGGACUGUCCAAAGGUCCUGACUCUUCCCUCGGCAUCCCUGACUCUCCCCAGGUGACCCAAUAUGGACCAUCCAAAACCCCUGGCGGGGCUGAGAGAAGGCCAGAGAUGGGGUCCAGGUGCCGGUCCCGAAGCAGGACAGAACAUGGCCUACCCCGUGCAGCGCAGUGACAUUCGGACUCUGGAAGUCGGGGAGACCGGGCCUGGCUAGGUUUGGGGAGCAGGGUUGUUUGAGAAGGAAGGGGAAGGGCUGGCAGAGGGAAACGAGCGUCACCUGCGGAAUCUGGGGCGGCGCCUCGGCCUACGGGAUCUUCGGGCCUGGAGCCCCCUGCCCGCAGGGCGGUUGCAGAGGGGCUGGUGGCCACAGCGGUUGGUCACGGACCUCCUUGUAGCCCUCAUCUCUGGCCUUGUUCCUGCAGUGAGGCUGGCAGGUGGCUGAUCUGACUGGCUGUAGGGCAAGAGGACAAUCAUCACAGAUGAUGUUUAUUGAGCGCUCACUGUGUGCGGAGCGCUGUACUGAGCACUUAGAAACCACCCUGGAAAGGCCCGACAGAGGCUCGGCUGCCCUCGAUUCCUCCUCCCUCUGCUCCAGCCCCACCCACCAAGGAUGUCCAGUUCAAUAACAAUAAUAAUAAUAAUGUUUUUGUUAAGCGUUUACUAUGUGGGCAAGCACCGUUCAAAGCACUGGGGUAGAAACAAGCUAAUGAA